This 965-nucleotide long non-coding RNA is filed under the name Brassica napus (rape). RNAcentral describes it as "long non-coding RNA (BNAP_LNC002482)". The record is from RNAcentral. Lineage: Eukaryota; Viridiplantae; Streptophyta; Magnoliopsida; Brassicales; Brassicaceae.
AAGGCGUCCAAAGGAUGGAGAGGCACCCUUCCGACGGGACUCAGAUCAAACGUCCGCCGCCGAAGUCAGGUCACGGCGGGAAGUACACGUGGGAGGGGUCUGAUCGGAUGGAGGACUACGAGAUGCAGCCGGAUCCGGCGGCGAUGGAUGAAGGCGAUCCUAACUACGACGAGGAGAAGAUCGGCGGUGGUGGUGGUGAGAAAUUCUAAACUUUCAUAUAUGUAUAUAUAUAUAUAUUAUAUGCGUAUGUAAUUUUAAAUCCAUUCAGUGAAUUUUUUCUCCAUGGUGAAUGGUAAAGAAUUUUGAUUAUACCGUAUUAGUAAGAAAAUAUUUCUGUUAGACAUACUUGAAAGUUCAAACAGGUUGAAAGAACACCACUGAUUUCAUAUUUCUGUUUAAACAAGGUAAGAUUCUUCAUCUCUGUUGGGUAAAAGAAACAAGUUUCCACAGUUUUGUGAGUAAUGUAAAAAAAUCAGUUGAUUAAUUUUAAAUGGUUAAUUUUAAAAAACUAAACCAUCAAUUGAUAGUUCUCAAGUAAAACCAGGCAAAGGUGGUCCACAGUUUCAAUAAUGUUCAUCGGUCCGAACGGAUAAUUACUAGAUCAGUGUUAAGGAUAAAAUAAGAGUUUAGAAAAUAAGAAUUAAAAAAAAAUGAGACGUGUCUUGUAAUGUAGGAGAACGACAAAAGAACGUGAUGUGAAUCUUCAACUCUUCAUUAGAUACAUGUCCCCUCCCUUCUUAUCCUCACUCAACCUCACUCAUUAUAUAAACAACACUCUUCUCCUCGAAGCUCAGAGAAACGCAUAAAAAGGUAGCGAUGAAGACGGUAUCGGUGGACGAGACCAAAAACACGGUGGUGCUACGAGCUGAGCACCGGGACGAGGAAGGUCGGAAAGCUGUGGAUAAACUCGAGUUAAAGACUCGAAACCCCGACACGAUCAAGCAAGUCGAGAAGAAGCUGAUGGA